This 82-nucleotide small nucleolar RNA is filed under the name Numida meleagris (helmeted guineafowl). RNAcentral describes it as "Small nucleolar RNA SNORD46 (ENSNMEG00000021301.1)". The record is from RNAcentral. Lineage: Eukaryota; Metazoa; Chordata; Aves; Galliformes; Numididae.
CCUUAGGUAGAUGCAACAAACCGUUUUGGUUGUUUACUGUAUCUGCCGAUGCUGGGGUUUGUCAUAGUUACACUGACCACGU